CUCCUGCAGCCUCUUCUGCUCCACGCGCAGACACCGAGUCAUCAUUAACCCGCAGAGCGAGACCCGCUCGGCUGAUCCGGGAUGGCAGAGCGGUACCGGGCACCGGGGCGGAGCGGCGGCGGACCCGCGGCACACCCGCCAGUGCUGGGCACGAGCUCCGGGCACGAGCUCCGGGCACGCAGCUCUCCCGCUCCCAGGAAUCCCUGACUGAGCGCGGAACAACUACACUGCAGGAUAAGCAGUGAUCAAUGCUGGACAUGAGGCCGGGGCCUGGAGGAGAGAGGGCCCCCGGAGGAACCCGGCGGAGUGGUGGGGCCCCUCGGCGGAGUGGUGGGGCCCCUCGGCGGAGUGGUGGGGCCCGGGGCUGAGGCAGUGAAGCAGGUGGGACCGGUGGACGGCACAUCGCAGACCAGGUCCAGCUGGAACUCACUCCAGGAGGAGCUGGGAUCUGCGCUCACCUGAGGGAAGGAGCUCGUCGCCGGUGGACGUCCGGUUCUUGGGGUCCUGGGAUGGGACCUGGUCCGUCCGGGAUCCGGGGCUCCCAGGAAGCAGCAGCUGCUCUGGACUCUUCAUUGUUUGUGUGUUGAAGGAAACUGAUCAAUAAAGGUUUGCGAACACUG
Molecule: long non-coding RNA, 620 nt
Organism: Salarias fasciatus (jewelled blenny)
Lineage: Eukaryota; Metazoa; Chordata; Actinopteri; Blenniiformes; Blenniidae
Exons: 5
Source: RefSeq, a predicted model, not a curated record